CCUGAUGCAGCGACGCCGCGUGAGUGAAGAAGUAUUUCGGUAUGUAAAGCUCUAUCAGCAGGGAAGAAAAUGACGGUACCUGACUAAGAAGCUCCGGCUAAAUACGUGCCAGCAGCCGCGGUAAUACGUAUGGAGCAAGCGUUAUCCGGAUUUACUGGGUGUAAAGGGUGCGUAGGUGGCAGUGCAAGUCAGAUGUGAAAGGCCGGGGCUCAACCCCGGAGCUGCAUUUGAAACUGCAUAGCUAGAGUACAGGAGAGGCAGGCGGAAUUCCUAGUGUAGCGGUGAAAUGCGUAGAUAUUAGGAGGAACACCAGUGGCGAAGGCGGCCUGCUGGACUGUAACUGACGUUGAGGCUCGAAAGCGUGGGGAGCAAACAGGAUUAGAUACCCUGGUAGUCC
RNAcentral lists this ribosomal RNA (397 nucleotides) under Escherichia coli. RNAcentral describes it as "bacterial SSU rRNA". It matches the Rfam family "Bacterial small subunit ribosomal RNA", at positions 382 to 796 of the family's 1533-position model. The record is from RNAcentral. Lineage: Bacteria; Pseudomonadati; Pseudomonadota; Gammaproteobacteria; Enterobacterales; Enterobacteriaceae.